UCAUAAUUAAGUUCAAGGGAAGGUACUAUGACUGGACGUGCACGUAAGCCAGAUUUAUGUUUCUCUCCACCCAAACAUCUCAGUGGAGUAAAGAAAAACAAGGCAGCAUUGCUGUAAACAUGUCUUGCCUCCCACCACAGGACGGUUUUUCUCUCAUCUCAGAAUUGAACAAAUGUACAAUCGGGUUUUAUACCGAGACAUUCAGUUCCCAGGGGCAGGUAGGAGACAGUGGCCUUCCUCUAUCUCAACUGCAAGAGGCUUUCCUCUUUUACUAAUCCACCUCAGCACAGACUCUUUAUGGGUGUUGGGCUGGGGGACAGUCAGGUCUUUCUCAUCCCACGAGGCCAUAGUUCAGACUAUCACAUGGGGAGAAACCUUGGACAAUACCCCGCUUUCAAGGGCAGAGGUCCCUGCGGCUUUCCGCAGUGCAUUGUGCCCCUGGUUUAUUGAGACUAGAGAAUGGCAAUGACUUUUACCAAGUAUACUGCUCGUAAACAUCUUGUUAACAAGGCACGUCCUACACAGCCCUGGAUCCCUUAAACCUUGAUUUCAUACAACACAUGUUUUUGUGAACUCCAGGUUGGGUCAAAGUGGCUGGGGCAAAGCUACAAAUUAACAUCUCAGCAAAGCAAUUGUGCAAAGUACAGGUCUUUUUCAAAAUGGAGUCUCUUAUGUCUUUCCUUUCUACAUAGACACAGUAACAGUCUGAUCUCUCUUUCUUUUCCCUACAGGCAUUAGCACACGUGAGUUUGAAAAAAUUUUCAUAACUGGGUACUAAUAUGUGUCUGCUGGAAAGAAAUACUCCAAAUUUUUUAUUGUGAUGAAAACCACAUACCAUAAAAUUUACCAUCGUAAUCAUUUUUUUUUUCUUUUUGAGAUGGAGUCUUGCUCUUGUUGCCCAGGUUGGAGUGCAGUGGAGCGAUCUCGGUUCACUGAAACUUCUGCCUCCCAGAUUCAAGCAAUUGUCCUGCCUCAGCCUCCUGAGUAGCUGGGAUUACAGGCACCCACCACCACGCCUGGCUAAUUUUUUUUGUACUUUUAGUAGAGACAGGGUUUCGCCAUGUUGGCCAGGCUGGUCUUGAACUCCUGACCUCAGUUGAUGCACUCCCCUAGGCCUCCCAAAGUGUUGGGAUUACAGGUGUGAGCCACUGUGCCUGGCCCAUCUUAAUCAUUUUUAAGUGUACAGUUUAGUAGUGUUCAGUGUAUUCACAUUAUUGUGAAACAUCUCUAGAAUUUCAUCUUGCAAAUAUGAAGCUCUAUACCCAUUAAACAACAAUUCUUCUUUUUCCUUUUCCCUCAGCCACCAUUCUACUUUCUGUCUCUACUAGUGUGACUACCCUAGAUACCUCAUAUAAGUAGAAUCAUACAGUAUUUGUCUUUUUGCCUCAAAGUUUUAACAUUGCUAACAUCUAGGUUCUGUCAUGUUUGUUUUCUUUACCUAUCUCUGUGCUUUCAUAAACGAGCAUUUACUUUUUUAUAACAAGUAAAAAACACAAAAUACAACAUUAGCUUUUAUUUUUGAGUCGUUGAAUAUGGCUGGUAUAAUAAACCUGUUGUGUAGUGCCUAUUACAAAUGCCUCUUUACAAAUGGAAAAAUAAGACUAAGAAAAAUUAAGUAAUUUGACUAAGAUCACAAAGGUAGGGUGUGAUCAAGCUGGGAUUUGAAUGUAAUUUUUAACGAUUCUUGAGCUCAAGCUCUUUAUCACUCUGCUAUGAAUGCUUAAGAUCUGGGAACAAUUUAAUAUUGAGUGAAAAACAAUUCCAUCCCACUUUGUAGGGAUGAUGUAGUUCUGAAUAAGGUCAUAUAUGUAGAUGUAUAUAGAGUGUGUUGACAUACACAAUCAAUUAAGAAGGGAUGACAUAAAAUGCAGGGUCUUUGGAUAAUUGAUUAGAAAUUUGCAAAGCAGAAAUGUUUAGGCUGGGUGAGGUGGCUCACGCCUGUAAUCCCAGCACUUUGGGAGGCUGAGGCAGGUGAUUGCCUGAGCUCAGGAGUUUGAGACCAGCCUGGGAAACAUGGCAAAACCCCGUCCUACAAAAAAUACAAAAAUUAGCCAGGUGUGGUGGUAUGUGCCUGUAGUCUCAGCUACUCAGGGGGUUGAGGUGGGAGGAUCGCUUGAGCCCAGAAAGUUGAGGCCGCAGUGAGCCAUGAUCAUGACGCUGCACUCCAGCCUGAGCAACAUAGUGAGACUUUGUCUCAACAAACAAACAAAAACAACCAAACCAAAUUAACACAGAAAUACCCUUUUAUCUUAAAGUAUAUCAGCUAUGAUUCUCAAAGGUAUACGAUUCUCAAAUAUUGGUCCACUUGCACAGAAAAGAAAAAGGAAACAAAAAAUAUUUCCUCACAUAUAAAAUGUAGGUAGGAAAGUAUAUGGAUUACAU
This 2382-nucleotide long non-coding RNA is filed under the name Homo sapiens (human). Its description in RNAcentral is "non-protein coding lnc-RIMS3-5:1". Lineage: Eukaryota; Metazoa; Chordata; Mammalia; Primates; Hominidae. The record is from RNAcentral.